ACGCGUAAUGAAAGUGAACGUAGGAGAGAGCUUCGGCGCAUCUCCGACCGAUCCUGAUGUUCUCGGAUGGAUUUGAGUAAGAGCAUACGGGGCCGGACCCGAAAGAAGGUGAACUAUGCCUGUAUAGGGUGAAGCCAGAGGAAACUCUGGUGGAGGCUCGCAGCGGUUCUGACGUGCAAAUCGAUCGUCAAAUAUGGGCAUGGGGGCGAAAGACUAAUCGAACCUUCUAGUAGCUGGUUUCCGCCGAAGUUUCCCUCAGGAUAGCAGUGUUGAGCUCAGUUUUAUGAGGUAAAGCGAAUGAUUAGGGACUCGGGGGCGCUUAUUAGCCUUCAUCCAUUCUCAAACUUUAAAUAUGUAAGAAGCUCUUGUUACUUAAUUGAACGUGAGCAUUCGAAUGUAUCAACACUAGUGGGCCAUUUUUGGUAAGCAGAACUGGCGAUGCGGGAUGAACCGAACGCGAGGUUAAGGUGCCAGAGUAGACGCUCAUCAGACACCACAAAAGGUGUUAGUACAUCUUGACAGCAGGACGGUGGCCAUGGAAGUCGGAAUCCGCUAAGGACUGUGUAACAACUCACCUGCCGAAUGUACUAGCCCUGAAAAUGGAUGGCGCUCAAGCGUCUCACCCAUACCUCGCCCUCAGGGUAGAAACGAUGCCCUGAGGAGUAGGCGGACG
Molecule: ribosomal RNA, 673 nt
Filed under: Hypocreales sp. KH00206
Lineage: Eukaryota; Fungi; Ascomycota; Sordariomycetes; Hypocreales
Description: eukaryotic LSU rRNA
Rfam family: Eukaryotic large subunit ribosomal RNA
Source: RNAcentral